RNAcentral lists this ribosomal RNA (229 nucleotides) under uncultured bacterium. RNAcentral's name for it is "partial 16S ribosomal RNA". It matches the Rfam family "Bacterial small subunit ribosomal RNA", at positions 91 to 334 of the family's 1533-position model. The record is from RNAcentral.
UAAAGUGGCGCACGGGUGAGUAACACGUGGAUCAUCUACCUUUUAGUGGGGAAUACCUCUGGGAAACCGGAGACAAUACCGCAUAAGCCUGUAAAGGGAAAGCAGCAAUGCGCUGAAAGAGGAGUCCGCGGCCGAUUAGCUAGUUGGCGGGGUAACGGCCCACCAAGGCGAAGAUCGGUAGCCGGCCUGAGAGGGCACACGGCCACACUGGCACUGAAACACGGGCCAG